RNAcentral lists this ribosomal RNA (497 nucleotides) under uncultured bacterium. Its description in RNAcentral is "partial 16S ribosomal RNA". It matches the Rfam family "Bacterial small subunit ribosomal RNA", at positions 28 to 507 of the family's 1533-position model. The record is from RNAcentral.
GAUGAACGCUGGCGGCGUGCCUAAUACAUGCAAGUCGAGCGAACAGACGAGGAGCCUGCUCCUCUGACGUUAGCGGCGGACGGGUGAGUAACACGUGGAUAACCUACCUGUAAGACUGGGAUAACUUCGGGAAACCGGAGCUAAUACCGGAUAAUAUAUUGAACCGCAUGGUUCAAUAGUGAAAGACGGUUUUGCUGUCACUUAUAGAUGGAUCCGCGCCGCAUUAGCUAGUUGGUAAGGUAACGGCUUACCAAGGCAACGAUGCGUAGCCGACCUGAGAGGGUGAUCGGCCACACUGGAACUGAGACACGGUCCAGACUCCUACGGGAGGCAGCAGUAGGGAAUCUUCCGCAAUGGGCGAAAGCCUGACGGAGCAACGCCGCGUGAGUGAUGAAGGUCUUCGGAUCGUAAAACUCUGUUAUUAGGGAAGAACAAAUGUGUAAGUAACUAUGCACGUCUUGACGGUACCUAAUCAGAAAGCCACGGCUAACUACGUG